Molecule: long non-coding RNA, 532 nt
Filed under: Bos taurus (domestic cattle)
Lineage: Eukaryota; Metazoa; Chordata; Mammalia; Artiodactyla; Bovidae
Description: long non-coding RNA NONBTAT025906
Source: RNAcentral
AACUCAACUCUGAAUAUUGUUUUAAGCACAGAAUUGGGGGGAGCUACUUGACUCCGAACUCUCAGCUGAAUUUUUAAAACAAGUCAUUUCAUGAACAUACUUCAUUACUUAUAAAAGGUGCAAAGGUGCAAAAAUGUAAUAAGCAAUAACCUUGUAAAAUAAUGUAAAGAAUCCAGCCAGAAAUUAUUUUCCCUCAGAUGUGUAAGCAAUUUAAGUAAUAUAAAUAAGUGUACCUUUACUCCUGUAAUGUGACACCAAUGAGGAAACAGUGACUUGUCUAAGGAUACAUGGGUGAAUUCUUUAUUAAUUCAAAACAUUUAAAAAAAGUCAGUGUGUAAUGCAUGUGUGUUUUACAGUAAUAUCCAUGGGUGUCCACAGUGUAGUCAAAUGAAAACAGCUGUAGUUUGAUUUACUUUGAAAAGUCAAAGAUCUAUACCGUUUGAGAUUUCUGAAUUUUCUUACAUUAUUGUCAUGCUCAACUUCUAUUAUAUGUUGAAAAUUCUAGCAUUUUCAGGAAGUCUUAUUGUACAUA